UUAUGUCCAAUUUGCCAGUACUGCAGUUUGUGUGUAGUGAGGUGUUUUCAUGGUGUUUUAUUGGUGCUUUUACUAAAGGAAGGCUUCUAUCAAAUUCUUCCAAAUGUUGUCAAACUGAGCUGUGUGAUGAAGUGAGUGUGACAGAAACACUCAGACUGUGUUUCUCUGCUUCAUCAAGUCAAAUCUGGUCCUCAGAGACUGAAUAAAGUCCUGUCCCACUAACAGCAGCUCCAACAGUCUGUUCACUGCUUUCUUCCUGUCAGUCUUCAUCUUUCUGCUGCGUCUCCUCUUCACACUGACCACUUUCUAUCUAACAGUGAGCUCCCAGUGAAGCAGCAGCAUUCAGCCUGUUAGAGUCAACACAAAUGUCUCCAUCCAAGCUCAUGUUGUGCUUUGUUGUCCUCUCAGUCCCCCAGGUGGAGGUGGAUUCAGGGGUGGAGUCUGUCCAGCUGCCCUUCAACACCACACUUCACCUGCCUGAAGACGCUAAAGUGGAGUGGAAGAAUAAUUACGAUACAAAAGUCCACAUGUAUGAGAACGGCUCUGACCAGCCUGAAGAACAGCACCAGUUUUACAGAGACCGAACGAAGAUGAAUGAAGACCUGCUGAAAACUGGAGACCUCAGUCUGACCCUGAAACACCCCACAGAAACAAAGACCUACACCUGCACCGUCUACAGCAGGGAGGGAAACAUCCUGCUGAAGAGAAAGGUGGAGCUGAAAGUCAGAGUCUGUCAGGUGGAGGUGGAGGAGGGGGCGGAGUCUGUCCAGCUGCCCUUCAGAACCACACAAAACCUGCCUGAAGAUGCUGAAGUGGAGUGGGAACGUGAAGAACCUGAACCAUCACUGAUGGUCCACCUGUAUAUGAACGGCUCUGACCAGCCUCACAGUCAGGACCAGGUUUACAGAGACCGAACGAAGAUGAAUGAAGACCUGCUGAAAACUGGCGACCUCAGUCUGACCCUGAAACACCCCACAGAGAGAGACAGUGGAGAAUACAGAUGUGACCUUGACAGUGGGAACAUUUGGAGAUACAAAAAAGUGCUGCUCAAAGUCAAAGGGAGAGUUCAGGUCCAGGAUCAAACAGGGGACAUCAGGAACAGAAGCAGCUCCAUUGAUCCGACUCCUCUGAUGGCUGAUCAAUCAGUUUGAUCUGUGUGUUCUUUGAUUAUUGAUCAGUGAUGUCAGAGUGGAGUCAGUGUGAUGUUGUUGUUGUGUGUUUGAGACUUUUAGUGUCCAUGAAGGUCUCUGCUGCCGUAGAUCCUCUGAACUGUGACAGAGGUCUCACUCUGGAGGAAACUCUCAGCACUUUCCAGCAGCUCCUCCAUCAUGGAGGACGUUCCCUCACUGUAACAGGUGGAGGAGAGAGGAGAGGAAGCACAGGUGGAUCCUCUGAGGAAGAGGAGCGUUCCUACAAACCACAUGAUCACAUGACCAGAGGGGCGUGGCCUUCAGUGGUAGUAAUAAAGGAACAGUCCACAUGUUCCACUUUGAAGGCUCAUCUCCAACAAAGCAGACCUGUGAUCACUUUAACUCAGUAUGAUGGAUUGUUUGGAUUUGUCUUUGUUUCUCUGGCUUUUCUUGUGUGUCUGUGUGUCUUUGUAUGUUGGAUAGAGUCAUGUGACCUGCCCAGGGACUACACAUGGAAAUGAGCAGUUUAGCUCAAAUCUGGCAGGUUUCCAUCUUCUGUUUUUAUCCUGAUGUCCAUGAACAUGAACUCUGUCCCUGUCAAAUAAAUCCAGAUACAAAGAUCAGAUCUACUGAGCAUCAUCAGCGUGUCAGCCGCUAACUGCAUCUUCAAAUAAAUAAAUGUGUCUGAUCAGCGGUGAUAAGAGGAGAGACGCUGAGCGAGUGACAUGAAAAAGACCUUCAUUUAUCUGAAUUUCAGAGUUUUUAAUGAAUUACUGCAUAAACACUUAAAUUACUGUCUGAGCUGCUGCAGUUUACUUCUGCAUCCACUGGGUGUCAGUAAAGCUGCAGGUGCCUCACCUGGUGUCCAACUGUGGGGAAACAGUCCAGCUGCUAACACCACCUAAAGGUCAAAGUUAAUUCAGGGUGCAGUUUUGGCUCCAACACAUUCCAUGCUCGGUGUCCACUUUAUUAGGAACCUAUUCCUGCUGUAAAGCUGAAGAUUAUGUAAAAAUAUGACGAAUGAAAAUAAAAACCUUCUGAUCAACUAAUGUAGAACAAAUCAGUGAAUAAGAGACACUCAUAUCAUGCUGAUAUUCAACCAAUACCAACACUGCUGUCAGUACUAUUGAUCCAUGGCUUGAUACAGCCACUCAUAUCCUGGACCUGAACAAGCUUUAUAGAGGAGCUGGUGAUCACAGUGAGUAAAGUUGCAGCUACAAUGGCAGUGGACAAAUAACAGUUAUUAAUUUUCACAACACAUAAAAGGUAAUAACUGUUUGAAAAAUGUCUUUUUUCCUCCUUCCUCUGAUUAUUGUUUCAUGGAUGUUAUCAGUUACUGUUCUGAUGAGUUCACAGCAAACAUGAAGCAAAGGUCCUCCUCGUCAGUCGUGCCACUAAUGGAAUAUUCUCUCCGAACAGCCAACAGGACAAGGAGGACUCCAACCGACAGCUGGAAUCAAGUUCCACAAACAUCUUUUCACUUCUUACAACUUACAUCUCUGUCUCUGUUUGUUAUUUUUUUGCACUAAAAUGUUCAAUGAUCACACUGUUUUAGCCCAAUGUACAAAAUAAUUUUGGCUAAGGUUACUCACUUAAAGGUCAAGUUGGUCAAACAACCUUUUAUGUUUAUGUGUUAUUUUUUAAGAAGAAAAACUCCACUUUAUGUUGAAAUUUUUAUUGUUAUUAUUUAAAGGCAAUAUCAUUUUUAAAAUGUACUUAAAGCACUUAAAAUAGCACUUUAUUUUUAAGUCUGCCCAAUUUUCACCAGAAAUAUUAUUUUUGUUUCUCUGUUUUGAAUUGAAAUGCCAUUUAAAUGCUUUUUUAAGGAAAUUUUAACAAUAACCUGCAACACACCCCUCAUGAGCAUUAUUUGAAGUGGGUUUAAUAAACACAAAACAAUGUGGAGAGAAAUAUCCCAGCCAAACAUGAUCUCUGCCCAACAGCCGCCGCCCUGGCAUCUUAUAUACACACACACAGAAAGAAAGACCUUGUUUUCUGCUUAGCAGUCACCUAGAGAUUUACGUCCCUGAUAAGCAGGAGUCUCACUAUCUGUUUAAGUCUAAGGAGCAUGGAAAGAAAAAAGCGCAUGGACUUCCUUAAGUCGCUUAAAGACGUUUCACCUCUCAUCCAAGAAGCUUCUGCAGUUCUAGGGUCAAAUGGUGGUGAGUCCGAGAAAACGGGUGUAGGUCACAAUCAGCCAAGGUACCUUGGCUGAUAUAAUGUAAUAUAAAUGUUUUACAUGUGCUGCUGUUGUGUUGAUGGUGCAGAGAUGCUGCAAAGAGUGCUUGUGAUAUCGAGCACAAAGAUGUCUCCGUGCUUCAAGAUUCAAAGUGUUUAUUGUCAUGUGUCACAAGAGAAAAGGCAUUUCUUUGUGCAAUGAAAUCCUUUCUUUGCUGUCUGCCCACAGAUGCCAAUUAAUAUAUACAAUAGAAAUAGAACAUAUAAAUACAAAUAGUACAAAUAAAUAGCUGAAGAGAGAAAAGGAGACAAAAUAUGGAGAUUUGAAACAGAUGUGUGCAAAAGACCUAUAGCUUAAUAUGCUGGCUUAAUAUGUAAGAUGACCUGAUGUGCAACAAAAAUUAUUAUUACUGUUCAAAAUAGGUCAGCUGUUCAAGAGUCUGAUGGCAGUGGGGAAGAAGGAGUUAGUGAGUCUGGAUGUUCUGGAUUUCAGA
Oreochromis niloticus (Nile tilapia) is the source of this 3802-nucleotide long non-coding RNA. NCBI's taxonomy places the organism in Eukaryota, Metazoa, Chordata, Actinopteri, Cichliformes, Cichlidae. The record is from Ensembl.